Long non-coding RNA from Salvia hispanica, 534 nucleotides. RefSeq lists it as uncharacterized. NCBI's taxonomy places the organism in Eukaryota, Viridiplantae, Streptophyta, Magnoliopsida, Lamiales, Lamiaceae. The record is from RefSeq and is a predicted model, not a curated record.
UUUAUGAUAGGUUCAUCCCAAUGCUAAAAAUAAUUAAAUCCACAAGUCUUACACUAACUAUUAUAGUUAGUCCAAAACCUUAUAUUCCUAACUGUGAGCCCUAUAAUUGAGACCGCUCCACCUUUCUCUCUCUCUCUCUCUCUCCUCUUCCGUCGGCGCCGGUGUGCGACGGCACGUUGUCGGCCUCAUGUCUCCGCACCUUCAUGUCCACCUUCAGCCUCUGUGCUGCUGUUUGAUCGUGGUGCAGGAACGAGGCCGCCGUUGUCACGCCUAACCAGCUGUGUUCACCAUUUCCUGCUGCUACUAAUCUCGGUUGUCGUCGCAUGUUGCAACGGAAACAUCGGCCUUCCCCCUUCCCCGUCUUUGCCCCCGUCGUCCAUACCACUGUAAGGAAUCUAAAGGAAGAUCGAGUUGCUGCCUGGAGACAUCGCGGCCCACCGAGACUUGUACGUCUCAAAUUCAGAUUUGUAAUAAAUUACUAUAAUCAUGUACUUAAACAUUACAACUUCCGGAUAGAGAUUGUUAUUUUUCUUA